Empidonax traillii (willow flycatcher) is the source of this 120-nucleotide long non-coding RNA. RefSeq lists it as uncharacterized. The record is from RefSeq and is a predicted model, not a curated record. NCBI's taxonomy places the organism in Eukaryota, Metazoa, Chordata, Aves, Passeriformes, Tyrannidae. The transcript has 3 exons.
CAGGUUCUUCCCACAGUUCUUACUCCGGUAACCAGGGAGGACCUUCCUUCUCUCCUGGUGGAUCUUAUGGACAGGGAGGAUCUUCUGUUUAUGAUGGUAGCAGUGAAUCCUAUGGUCAGG